This 740-nucleotide ribosomal RNA is filed under the name Agaricus bisporus (cultivated mushroom). RNAcentral describes it as "eukaryotic LSU rRNA". The stretch from base 347 to 500 matches the Rfam family "5.8S ribosomal RNA". Lineage: Eukaryota; Fungi; Basidiomycota; Agaricomycetes; Agaricales; Agaricaceae. The record is from RNAcentral.
GGAAGUGUAAAAGUCGUAACAAGGUUUCCGUAGGUGAACCUGCGGAAGGAUCAUUAUUGAAUUAUGUUUUCUAGAUGGGUUGUAGCUGGCUCUUCGGAGUAUGUGCACGCCUGUCUGGACUUCAUUUUCAUCCACCUGUGCACCUUUUGUAGUCUUUUUCAGGUAUUGGAGGAAGUGGUCAGCCUAUCAGCUCUUUGCUGGAUGUAAGGACUUGCAGUGUGAAAACAGUGCUGUCCUUUACCUUGGCCAUGGAAUCUUUUUCCUGUUAGAGUCUAUGUUAUUCAUUAUACUCUUAGAAUGUCAUUGAAUGUCUUUACAUGGGCUAUGCCUAUGAAAAUUAUUAUACAACUUUCAGCAACGGAUCUCUUGGCUCUCGCAUCGAUGAAGAACGCAGCGAAAUGCGAUAAGUAAUGUGAAUUGCAGAAUUCAGUGAAUCAUCGAAUCUUUGAACGCAUCUUGCGCUCCUUGGUAUUCCGAGGAGCAUGCCUGUUUGAGUGUCAUUAUAUUCUCAACUCUCCAAUACUUUGUUGUAAAGGAGAGCUUGGAUUGUGGAGGUUUGCUGGCUCCUUACUUGGGGUCAGCUCCUCUGAAAUGCAUUAGCGGAACCGUCUGCGAUCUGCCACAAGUGUGAUAACUUAUCUACACUGGCGAGGGGAUUGCUUUCUGAUGUUCAGCUUCUAAUCGUCUAAGGACAAUUUCUUGAAUGCUGACCUCAAAUCAGGAGGGAACACGGCCGACGA